CUCCACAAAGAGCAGAAAGUGAAUUAUUAUGCAAAGCAGACUUCAGCUUGACCUUCAUCCUCUGCUGUCAGGCGGACCCCUUCGGCUCGACUGGACUGAUUUUAGACACUCAGUUCCUGAAAAACACACCUUAUAAACCUCUUUAUUAACAUUAUAUUCUUUUACACUUUUAUUUUUUUUUAAUGCUUAAACGUCACUUACAAUCAACUGUUCUCCCCUUUUUACUUUUGCAUGCUGAAACACGCCCCAUUUUUUUCCCCCUAGAGGCAUCUGGGACUGUUUUAGUAACAGCCCGGCCCUGCUUUCACUCUUCCAUUUCCUGCUUCCUCAUCUGAACAAACCUCACGCUCUGCAUACGUUACUUUAUCUGAUUCCAUAUGAACGACGCAUUUCUAGGCAUCGCUGAGCCGACAGCAGUCAGAGCUUCAUUGAAAUAAGUGGGGCAGCCGACAGACAGAAGAAAAAAAAAUUAACCUCGGCCUUUUCAAAGACAAGCCUCGAUUCACGCAUCUUCUACAACUUCUAAAGACCUGAACUCUCGACUUUGCUCACCAAGGUUUCUUCAGGUGUUUUUUGGGGGGCGGCAGCAGAAACGUAAAAAUGUGGAGCACAUUGAGAUUCAACACUUCGGCUGACAUCAGUAAAAAUCUCAGAACAAGUCUGGAGACUUUUGUGAGGCUCUAUGGCCAACGCAAAGAUGAUCUUCAGCAAGCUUCUGAGCAUUUCAUGCAUGCAGCAGCUCUAGUUGAUAAAAAGCAUGAGGAUGACAAGAUGGCCCAGGCUCUGUUAGGUGUGUUUGGAGGGGCUAUUGGUAUAGUCUUUGGGGGUGUUACUGGUGGUGUAUGGGCUGCUUUGGGAGCAGUUAGUGCAGCAACUUAUGCCAAGUUUUGUGGCAACGUUAGUGCAGCAAGUGCAACUGUGGGCUUUGUAGGCGGUGUCUUUGGGGGAGUGGUGGGAGGAGCAUUUUCGGGGUUUAUUGGUGGAUCAGUUGGUGUUGCAGCUCUAGCAGCGGGUAUAGAAGCUCAUGGGAUCGUGAGUGAUUCAUUAUGGUUUACUGUUGGCUUCGCCACUGGUGGUGCAACUGGUAGCACAUUUGGCGGGUCAAUUGGUGCAGCAGGUGGUGCUGUUGGUGGUGGUUUUGGUGCUUUGCAUGCUACAAAAGCUGCAGUUUAUCUGGUCAGAAAAGCCAUCGAUUUUCCUUCUAAAACAAAAGUUCGAAAAGGAAAUGGAAAGCUAACGAAAGAAGUAGUCACCAUGCAGAAAACUGGAGCAGAUUUCAUUAAAAGCAUCGAACCGCUGGUGGACGAGCUAAAAACGGUGCAAGAGAUUUGUGACCAAAUGGCCUCCUGUGAUGCUGUGAAAGGCGUCGCUAAUCAGACUGCAAAGACUCUGGCUGCAGUGAACACAAUGGAGAAAACGAUGAACCACAGUCAGAUGGAGGCGGACGAGUCAGAGUUUCUCCGCUGUGUUAAAGAAGCAUCGAGCCAAUGCAAGAUAAUCCCUGUGGAGCUGCAGAUGAUGAGAGAGGAAGUGGAGAAACUUCUGGUUUCACUGUAGAAACACUGUUGCUGUCGGUGAAACAGGAGCUGUUCUGUUGUCUUGAUGGUUUCAUCUGUUUUACGUAGCUGUUCAUUUGUUAUUUGUUUAGUUUCUGUUUUUAACUGCUCAUUUUGUAGUUCUUAUACGCUCUUCAUACAGAAUCAGCUGUGUUAAUAUAUGUUGGCUGUCUCAUCUUUAUACAAAAUACUGUUAUACUAAAUUCUAAAUUCAGAAUCUGCACGUUACACUGGCAAAAACAUAAAAAAAAACCUCUAACAAAAAGCUUAAAGUGGAAUGACAGAAUGACAAAGUUAAAAGAAAUUAAAAAUAAUUACAAAAAUAAAUUAUCUGGAUCUAAAGCAGUUAUACAGUAAAGUGAAUAUUUAACAUAUUUAACAUACAAUUAAAUAAAAAAGAUUUAUAUAUCUAUAUCUAUAUAUCUAUAUAUCUAUAUAUCUAUAUAUAUAUAUAUAGAUAUAUAGAGAUAUGGAGA
This is a long non-coding RNA of Astatotilapia calliptera (eastern happy), 2032 nucleotides long. Lineage: Eukaryota; Metazoa; Chordata; Actinopteri; Cichliformes; Cichlidae. The record is from Ensembl.